Molecule: unclassified non-coding RNA, 246 nt
Filed under: Hevea brasiliensis (rubber tree)
Lineage: Eukaryota; Viridiplantae; Streptophyta; Magnoliopsida; Malpighiales; Euphorbiaceae
Source: RNAcentral
UGAGCUCAUCAGCAUUUUCCGUCUUCCCUAGAUGAAGAGAUACACUAGGCGAUGCCCAGACAGUGACGUAGAUUGUUUCAACUGAGGCUUGAACUAGAUCCAGUCUAACUAAGCCCCCUAUAUGUACAGUCUGCCCAUGCUUAAUCCUAUAAGUUCGAGGUUGUAGCUCCUUUCGUAUCUCAACCAUUUUCUGCUCCUCCCUGUUUAAUCGCAUGGACAUAAGAUAUGGAUGUAGGAGGCCCGGCG